RNAcentral lists this ribosomal RNA (468 nucleotides) under uncultured bacterium. RNAcentral's name for it is "partial 16S ribosomal RNA". It matches the Rfam family "Bacterial small subunit ribosomal RNA", at positions 28 to 507 of the family's 1533-position model. The record is from RNAcentral.
GACGAACGCUGGCGGCGUGCUUAACACAUGCAAGUCGAACGGAAAGGCCCUGCUUUUGUGGGGUGCUCGAGUGGCGAACGGGUGAGUAACACGUGAGUAACCUGCCCUUGACUUUGGGAUAACUUCAAGAAACUGGGGCUACUACCGGAUAGGAGCUCCUGCUGCAUGGUGGGGGUUGGACAUUUUCGGCGGUUGGGGAUGGACUCGCGGCUUAUCAGCUUGUUGGUGGGGUAGUGGCUUACCAAGGCUUUGACGGGUAGCCGGCCUGAGAGGCUGACCGGUAACAUUGGGACUGAGAUACGGACCAGACUGCUACGGGAGGCAGCAGUGGGGAAUAUUGCACAAUGGGCGGAAGCCUGAGGCAGCAACGCCGGGUGCGGGAUGACGGCCUGCGGGUUGUAAAACGCUGUCGCCUGUGACGAAGCGUGAGUGACGGUAAUGGGUAAAGAAGCACCGGCUAACUACGUG